This 1440-nucleotide ribosomal RNA is filed under the name metagenome. RNAcentral's name for it is "bacterial LSU rRNA". It matches the Rfam family "Bacterial large subunit ribosomal RNA", at positions 1509 to 2925 of the family's 2925-position model. The record is from RNAcentral.
GGUUUAAGGUGGUAGGCUGGAAUCUUAGGUAAAUCCGGGAUUCUAAGGCCGAGAGCUGAUGACGAGUGUUCUUUUAGAACACGAAGUGGUUGAUGCCAUGCUUCCAAGAAAAGCUUCUAAGCUUCAGGUAACCAGGAACCGUACCCCAAACCGACACAGGUGGUUGGGUAGAGAAUACCAAGGCGCUUGAGAGAACUCGGGUGAAGGAACUAGGCAAAAUGGCACCGUAACUUCGGGAGAAGGUGCGCCGGUGAGGGUGAAGCAUUUACUGCGUAAGCCCAUGCCGGUCGAAGAUACCAGGCCGCUGCGACUGUUUAUUAAAAACACAGCACUCUGCAAACACGAAAGUGGACGUAUAGGGUGUGACGCCUGCCCGGUGCCGGAAGGUUAAUUGAUGGGGUUAGCUAACGCGAAGCUCUUGAUCGAAGCCCCGGUAAACGGCGGCCGUAACAAUAACGGUCCUAAGGUAGCGAAAUUCCUUGUCGGGUAAGUUCCGACCUGCACGAAUGGCGUAACGAUGGCGGCGCUGUCUCCACCCGAGACUCAGUGAAAUUGAAAUCGCUGUGAAGAUGCAGUGUAUCCGCGGCUAGACGGAAAGACCCCGUGAACCUUUACUAUAGCUUUGCACUGGACUUUGAAUUUGCUUGUGUAGGAUAGGUGGGAGGCUUUGAAGCGUGGACGCCAGUUCGCGUGGAGCCAACCUUGAAAUACCACCCUGGCAACUUUGAGGUUCUAACUCAGGUCCGUUAUCCGGAUCGAGGACAGUGUAUGGUGGGUAGUUUGACUGGGGCGGUCUCCUCCUAAAGAGUAACGGAGGAGUACGAAGGUGCGCUCAGACCGGUCGGAAAUCGGUCGUAGAGUAUAAAGGCAAAAGCGCGCUUGACUGCGAGACAGACACGUCGAGCAGGUACGAAAGUAGGUCUUAGUGAUCCGGUGGUUCUGUAUGGAAGGGCCAUCGCUCAACGGAUAAAAGGUACUCCGGGGAUAACAGGCUGAUACCGCCCAAGAGUUCAUAUCGACGGCGGUGUUUGGCACCUCGAUGUCGGCUCAUCACAUCCUGGGGCUGAAGCCGGUCCCAAGGGUAUGGCUGUUCGCCAUUUAAAGUGGUACGCGAGCUGGGUUUAGAACGUCGUGAGACAGUUCGGUCCCUAUCUGCCGUGGACGUUUGAGAUUUGAGAGGGGCUGCUCCUAGUACGAGAGGACCGGAGUGGACGAACCUCUGGUGUUCCGGUUGUCACGCCAGUGGCAUUGCCGGGUAGCUAUGUUCGGAAUAGAUAACCGCUGAAAGCAUCUAAGCGGGAAACUAGCCUCAAGAUGAGAUCUCACUGGGACCUUGAGUCCCCUGAAGGGCCGUCGAAGACUACGACGUUGAUAGGUUGGGUGUGUAAGCGCUGUGAGGCGUUGAGCUAACCAAUACUAAUUGCCCGUGAGGCUUGACCG